UCUUAAAACAAUGUGGACCUCCAGACAUGAGUUCAUAGGGAAAGCUUCUCCAAAUCUUCUUCUGAUCUUGGCCAUCAGGCAUGAACCAUCACACAUCAUUCUGACUCACAGGGUGAUUACUGAGUUUUGGAGGCAGGACGACUAUCUACAGAGUAUCAAGCUUCCUCACGACACAAAUGUGGUUACUCACAGUGAUGGCAUGGUUGUUUCCAUCGUGGAAGUAGCUCACAGUGAUGGAUAGGUUUGACUAACGAGGAAUGAGAACCAAAUGACCUUUCCACCUCACCAAGCAGGAUCACUGGAGUGGGCUGGCUUCCUCCACUGGUGCCAUCCUAUCAUCGAAGAGAUCUGAAAGUCUCUCUGGAAUUGCACACACAGAGGCACCUGUGCUUCCCAUUAACACAGUACUUGCAUGUGUUAUUUCUUCCCGCUGGAAUGCUCCCACCCAACCCCCAGAAGAUUGAUUCCUCGCCCCCUUCAAUAUUUGCGUCACAAUUUUUCUGUUCUAUGAAGCUGAUGACCCCUCAAAAUGGGUUAGUGUCUUCUUUCUUUGUUUUUUCAUAGUACCAUAUGCAUUUUUAUAUGUAUUAAUUUUGCGCUCACUUUCUGUUCUUUCUCUUACCUGACUGUGACCUGGAGGGAGUGGUUGUGUCCUUUCUUUUGAAAACCACCUUGUCUUCAUCAUGUGUCAAACAAGACAUAUCUACUAAUAAAUCAAUGAACAUUUGUUUGGUAUCACCCAGGUAGAACAACAGAUUCGUUAGAGUUUCAACCCCCAGCUACUGUCUCACCAUAGUUAGAACAUAAUCCAGGAAUGGUGGCACACAUCUGUAUUCCCAGUACUCGGGAGGCAGAGGCAGGAAGAUCACCUUAAGUUUGAGGUCAUCCUAGGCUACAUAGUAAGUAUAAGGCCCAGCCUAAACUA
This 925-nucleotide long non-coding RNA is filed under the name Fukomys damarensis (Damara mole-rat). RNAcentral describes it as "lncRNA (ENSFDAG00000031906.1)". Lineage: Eukaryota; Metazoa; Chordata; Mammalia; Rodentia; Bathyergidae. The record is from RNAcentral.